This 405-nucleotide long non-coding RNA is filed under the name Erythranthe guttata (spotted monkey flower). RNAcentral's name for it is "long non-coding RNA (EGUT_LNC002551)". Lineage: Eukaryota; Viridiplantae; Streptophyta; Magnoliopsida; Lamiales; Phrymaceae. The record is from RNAcentral.
UUUAAACAUGACCACAGGGACAAACAAACUUUCAAAUACCGUCGGAGUCAUCUGCUUCUUCAAUGUCGUCACUGAAACUCACGGCUGGUUCGUUAGCCUCAUUCCCCCCACCUUCAUUCCCGUUGUUGUUGUUAGCAACGUUCCCACCACCUUCGUUUCGGAUUCGAUCCUAGAGAUCGUCUAAGUAGAUCGCAUAGUGGGGAUUCACAACUUGGGGUGGAUUUGGCUGAGGAGCAACAACUUGGUCGUCAGCCACGUCAUUACCGAUGACGACCGGAUGUUCAGGAUCAUAGCCCACGAGUCCGCGAAAGUCGACUGCCGGGGCCUGUUUCACGUCAAACACAAAGUGGCAGUCUUCGUAUAAUGGAAAUCGGUUGAUUCUAAAGGUCCUCUCUUCCUCCGUCU